GAUGAACGCUGGCGGCGUGCCUAAUACAUGCAAGUCGAGCGAACGGACGAGGAGCUUGCUCCUCUGACGUUAGCGGCGGACGGGUGAGUAACACGUGGAUAACCUACCUAUAAGACUGGGAUAACUUCGGGAAACCGGAGCUAAUACCGGAUAAUAUAUUGAACCGCAUGGUUCAAUAGUGAAAGACGGUUUUGCUGUCACUUAUAGAUGGAUCCGCGCCGCAUUAGCUAGUUGGUAAGGUAACGGCUUACCAAGGCGACGAUGCGUAGCCGACCUGAGAGGGUGAUCGGCCACACUGGAACUGAGACACGGUCCAGACUCCUACGGGAGGCAGCAGUAGGGAAUCUUCCGCAAUGGGCGAAAGCCUGACGGAGCAACGCCGCGUGAGUGAUGAGGGUCUUCGGAUCGUAAAACUCUGUUAUUAGGGAAGAACAAAUGUGUAAGUAACUAUGCACGUCUUGACGGUACCUAAUCAGAAAGCCACGGCUAACUACGUG
Molecule: ribosomal RNA, 497 nt
Filed under: uncultured bacterium
Lineage: Bacteria
Description: partial 16S ribosomal RNA
Rfam family: Bacterial small subunit ribosomal RNA
Source: RNAcentral